This 466-nucleotide ribosomal RNA is filed under the name uncultured bacterium. RNAcentral's name for it is "partial 16S ribosomal RNA". It matches the Rfam family "Bacterial small subunit ribosomal RNA", at positions 29 to 507 of the family's 1533-position model. The record is from RNAcentral.
ACGCACGCUGGCGGCGUGCUUCACCCCUGCCAGUCGAACGGAAAGGCCUAGCUUGCUGGGUACUCGAGUGGCGAACGGGUGAGUAACACGUGGGUGAUCUGCCCCUGACUUUGGGAUAAGCCUGGGAAACUGGGUCUAAUACCGGAUAUUCAUUUUUCCUCGCAUGGGGAUUUGUGGAAAGCUUUUGCGGUUGGGGAUGGGCCCGCGGCCUAUCAGCUUGUUGGUGGGGUAAUGGCCUACCAAGGCGACGACGGGUAGCCGACCUGAGAGGGUGAUCGGCCACACUGGGACUGAGACACGGCCCAGACUCCUACGGGAGGCAGCAGUGGGGAAUAUUGCACAAUGGGCGCAAGCCUGAUGCAGCGACGCCGCGUGAGGGAUGACGGCCUUCGGGUUGUAAACCUCUUUCAGCUCCGACGAAGCGCAAGUGACGGUAGGAGCAGAAGAAGCACCGGCCAACUACGUG